RNAcentral lists this ribosomal RNA (374 nucleotides) under Draconematidae sp. 551_4-1000_A. RNAcentral describes it as "SSU rRNA". It matches the Rfam family "Eukaryotic small subunit ribosomal RNA", at positions 30 to 405 of the family's 1831-position model. The record is from RNAcentral. RNAcentral also lists the same sequence under 2 other names. Lineage: Eukaryota; Metazoa; Nematoda; Chromadorea; Desmodorida; Draconematidae.
GGCUUGUCUCAAAGAUUAAGCCAUGCAUGUCUAAGCAUGAGCCGAACUAUGGUGAAGCCGCGAAUGGCUCAUUACAACAGCCGUUGUUUCUUGGAUCUUGAUUUACUUGGAUAACUGUGGUAAUUCUAGAGCUAAUACAUGCAACCAAGCUCCAACCUCACGGGAGGAGCGCAUUUAUUAGACCAAGACCAAUCAGGCUUUGCCUGGAAUCUGGUGACUCUGAAUAACUUUGCUGAUCACAUGGUCCUAGUACCGGUGACAUAUCUUUCAAGUGUCUGCCCUAUCAACUUUCGAUGGUAGUUUAUGUGCCUACCAUGGUUGUAACGGGUAACGGAGAAUAAGGGUUCGACUCCGGAGAGGGAGCCUGAGAAAUG